RNAcentral lists this long non-coding RNA (3955 nucleotides) under Mus musculus (house mouse). RNAcentral's name for it is "long non-coding RNA chr11:44736044-44739999". Lineage: Eukaryota; Metazoa; Chordata; Mammalia; Rodentia; Muridae. The record is from RNAcentral.
GAAACAGAUGCUUCUUGUCUCCAUGCCUGGAUGCUGCGGGGUUCACAACAUGUUGGGAAGCAGUCAGCCUGGAAAUGCCAAGCCAGCCACACUUCUUGAGAGCUUGCUAACUGGAUCCAUCUUUUCAAAAUGCACAUGUGUAUACCAACCCCUACAGGCAUCCCUGAGGUCCAUUGUUCCUGUCUUCCUUCAUGUCUUCAGGUCACUAAGAAUUUCAACGCAAUGAAAGAUAUGCCUUCUUACCAAGGCCAGCUACUACAGGAAUCCUGAUACUAUUAUUUUGCCACAUUCUGGGCCUUCACAGUAAUUGGAUUGAAAGGAGAAGUUGACAUUUUUUUCUGACCAGGAUUCUGCCAUGAAGCUGAGAGGGGACAGGUUGAGUGGGAAGCUACCAAGCUGGAUACUCAGGACCGCUUAGAGGAAGGCAAGGGUGGAGUCGGGUGUGGGGCGUGGUGCUGGCAGCCAGCAGCAGAUCCUGGUUUGUCUUUGUUCCACAAGGUGAUAGUGCAGGGUGUUAUAGGAGGCCUGACCAGAAGGACAUCAUAGUUGCUGGUCACGUAUUAGACUGGUUUUACUUCUAGGAUGAUUCUCAUUCAUACACGACAUGCUAGAUGGAAGUUGGGUCCUCAUUAGGCCGCAGUGUCUGUCUUUCUCCUUAAACACCCAUGGAAUCAGGUUCUCUACGUCAACUAGUUGUAGGUAUUUUAAGUUACGUUUUGCUAGGGAAGGAUUUUCCAAGACAAAAUAAAAGCAAGCUGGAAUUGUGAUAGAAAAUGCCAAGGAUAGCAAAAUUAGACUCCUUGAUAAUAAGACUAUUUCUUUUAUUAUUAAGUGUUUCUUUGAUAAAUAUUUACCAAAUAUCUUCAGUGACCCAAGCAAUAAGGAAGACAAUGCUCUGCCUAACCUUGUUGAUCUCAAUAUCAUGGGUACCCUCUCCUCUGAUUGGGUCAACCUGUGCAUGUUUGAAACUUUCUGCGUGAACAAGACUAUCCAAAACAACUGUAGCAGCUAAUAAUUUUAAUGAUGUGUCAAUCCAUUUACAUUCACUAGCUGAUUGUCUCCCUGUGCUUCUAUGUUUGACCUAAGUUUUUUGUUGUUGUUGUUGUUUUGUUUUUUUGUUUUUCUGAGACAGGUUUUCUCUGUGUAGCCCUGGCUGUCUUGGAACUCACUUUUUACAACGAUUUCUAGUCAUAUUAAACCUGCCCACCUUAGCUCUGAGGUCUAAGUUUGCGGUUUAAUUUUGGCUGUUGGACUUACUUUGAAUCUCUUUUCCUUAAGCUAUAAAUGAACCAUCAAACCCCACAUCUGUAGUUCAUCUUAGGCACAUAGUAGGCACUUUAAUAGGUUCUGACUGAGCGAACACGGAUGGAGCUUAGUCAGUACCAUCAUCAGCUAGAUCAUGAGUGAAGCAUCUCAGGUUUUACUGCAGUGACCUGAAGGCAUCACUCAGUCCUGAUACGCUGUGUGUGUUUCUCACACUUUUAGGUUUUUUUUUCCGGAAAGAAUAAAAUUCUAGUAGUGGUAUUACGAUGGAAUAGUACAAACAGAACUAGCAAAUGGCCGGGUUCUGUGAAGUCCCUUCCCGGACAGCUCAGAGCCAGCGGAUUGCAUCAUAUAUAUAACAACCACACAAAACCCUCUAAAAUAACACAGAACUCAGAGUACUCGAACAUUUAUAAAGUAUUUUAAAUUAAUUUUUAAUGAGUUUUAAUAUUUUAAUAUUAUACUUGAUCUUAAGUAAGAAAGUUGCUCUUGUUUUAGGCUGUGGUGUACAAUAUUACUUCAUGGGAUAGCAUUUAAUUAAAAUACAUUAAUUUAUGUGUUUGUUUAUUAGCUUUACCCCUAAAGCAGAAAGAACCACUGCACAAUUUUAUGAAAAAUGCAGAUGAGGAUGUUGGCAUCCCUAAUAAAUGUAAAUGAGAAUAGGUAAACAUGUAUGCUUUUAUUUUACCUAAGAAAGAGGGUAUUGGUUUGACAUACAAUAAAGAUCACUUCUUAGUGAAAAGAUUAAACUCCCAUGGAAACAAUCUUUAAUUUUUGUAAUUUCCUUUGGCUUUAUUAGGUUUUUACCUGAUUUGUUCUUGUCUGAAAACGUUUUCCCUCAUUUCUGUAAUUCCUGGAGUCAUUUUGUUGCAAGGAUAUUAUAGGGUAAAUUUUGUUUCAAACAUUUGGAAAUAGUUAGCUACCCUCAUUCUGUAUGGCCCACUUCGAGUAUUGACGUAACAAAUGAGAAACACCUUAUUGAAUCUGACAUGUUCUUUGCUGAUUUGGUUUGCCCCUAACUUAGAUUUUAUGCUCCUCAAGACUGGGGCCUGGUUGUUGUGAACUUUCGCUCUGGUUUUGAACACCCGUCAUACUUGCAGAAUAAGCAAGGAUGUUCUAACCUUCACCUUAUUAUGAUGGGACUCACCAGCUUAUUUUUCCUUUUAUGCAAAUUUUGUUUUAGUUUAUGGAUGUAGGCAUAGAGAAGAAAAGCAAGAAGCAACAACACCACCACUUUUUGUAGAGUUUUGUCUCAAUAUUCUAGAUGCUAGCAUCUAGCUAGCACUCCAACACCUAUUGUUUGAACUGACUCAUAUGCCAUGGAUAGCCCUUUAGAAAUACUGUAUUUCUCCUUUAAACAAAUAUUCUAUAGAAAAGUAGACUCAGAAUGUAUUAGAGGUAGAACUGCCCUGUGAUGCUUCCCAUUCUCCCUUUGUUAGUUAUUUAUAUUCACACUUCUUCACUUCACCACAUCCCUUGGUAAACAGCUUGCAGGGGGCUUGAUGUUUGUUAAUGAACUGUCAAUAAACACAUGUUCUUCCCAACUUCUUAAAAAACACUAUUUUGGGGGGUGCGGUGGGGGCAAAUGUGCUGGUUUCCAAUUCCUGUCUGCACUCUGGAGACAUAGAAGAGUCUUGGCUGAGCGUAGGGCCUCGGAGCUGGGUAAGGCAGCCUGUCACGUGUGCAGGCACAGUCCCUGCACAGGCCUGGAGGAAAGUGGCAGAUUUUGAUAGAGAUCGUGCCAGCCGCUUGUAGGGAGAAGUCGGAAAGUGUUUGGAAACAGCUCUGUUAGCAUGUUGCCCGCUCCCCAGCCCCAGCCCCCGGCCGCCCCAAAGCUGAAGGAGAGAGUGUGCCAAAGAACAAAAGGCAAACUAUAAGAGGACUUUACUGAUGUAGAAGCUGACCUGUCCAGGUUUGAGAGGAGACAGACUAACCUCUCUCUCUCUCUCUCUCUCUCUCUUGAUGACUUGGUCUCUUUACUCUGUAGCUAAAUAUCUCCACCGAAGAGGCUCCCAAGACUCUGAUACGUGUGUGUGUGUGUGUGUGUGUGUGUGUGUGUGUGUGAUCUUUAGGCUUCCAGAAACACCUCACUUUCUCCCCCUCCCCCGUCCCCCGCCCCAAUGCGGGCAUUGGGAGAGCAAUGCCAUCUGAGGAGUGGGGGCUGUGAGCCCAAAGCACACCUACCCCUUUCUUUUGGGCACCCACCUGAGCUACAAAUGAAUGCAAGAAACUUAGAACUGCCUUUAACCAAAACCAUUUAUAAUUUAAUUGGUGUUAUUACCACCAUCUAUUCAUUUUGGAACAAAUUGUCCCAAGAGCAAUGAUUCUGGAAGUUUUUGCUUUGGGAAAAAAAUGGUGAACUCACUGGGUUCCUUGGUCAUUUUUUUUUUUCCUUAAAAAUUUUAUGCAUUGUUAGGGAAGAAAAGUCUAGUCUAACUCACAAAUGCAUCCUUAUUCUCAUGUAUAUUUGAUACUGGCCCCAGUCUAAUCUGAUAAAGUGCACUUUGCCUGUGGUGUCUUACAAUAAGCCGGCUGCAUUAGUGCCGGGAAAAAUCAAUACCGAUUUAUAAUUUACCAUCGCAAAAACCUAUCACUUUUUAUGACCCUCCAUCCUGGCUCAUUAAUAUUACAUUAAAACACACACACCCACUGAAACAGGGGGGAACUGUAGCUUGUCAGGCUUCCAGCCACU